Malaclemys terrapin pileata is the source of this 451-nucleotide long non-coding RNA. RefSeq lists it as uncharacterized. The transcript is spliced from 3 exons. The record is from RefSeq and is a predicted model, not a curated record. NCBI's taxonomy places the organism in Eukaryota, Metazoa, Chordata, Testudines, Emydidae.
GCCAGCCAGGUAGAAGAUGAUUGCGUAGUUCUUGAAUGCAUCCACCAAGCGUCCUGAUAGUCAAAUGAGAAAUAAUUAGUGUUAGACUAUCAGCAAGUCUUUACCAAUGAUAUGGAAGUCGCUGAGAUCAGCACCUCAAUGAGUUCUCUGUGGCUGGGGAAUAAUUUCCUAAGGAAAGAGACUGAAGCCUUAUUGGGAUAUUCAGAAUUACACUUGACAAAACCCUGGACAAUAUACAACAGAAAGCCAUUCUGUGUUGGCUGAGAAAAACAGACAGGAUGUGCUCCAAGAGAAAUCUACCUGAAGUGGGCCAGUGUCCACCUGCUUGGGCCUGUUACUCCCCGUGGGAAAUAAGCGUGUUCCUGUUUGGAUCAGAGAAGAGGAGCCAGUCAUCCCUGUCGGGGCCCCGUCGAAACUGUUGGAAUCGGGCCCCACACUUCCUAAAGCCGGC